This 460-nucleotide ribosomal RNA is filed under the name uncultured bacterium. Its description in RNAcentral is "partial 16S ribosomal RNA". It matches the Rfam family "Bacterial small subunit ribosomal RNA", at positions 338 to 795 of the family's 1533-position model. The record is from RNAcentral.
CCUACGGGGGGCAGCAGUGAGGAAUAUUGGUCAAUGGGCGCGAGCCUGAACCAGCCAAGUAGCGUGAAGGAUGACUGCCCUACGGGUUGUAAACUUCUUUUAUAAAGGAAUAAAGUGAGGCACGUGUGCCUUUUUGUAUGUACUUUAUGAAUAAGGAUCGGCUAACUCCGUGCCAGCAGCCGCGGUAAUACGGAGGAUCCGAGCGUUAUCCGGAAUGACGGGGAGUAAAGGGUGCGUAGGUGGUUUGGCAAGUUAGUAGCGUAACUCCAAGGCUCAACCUUGGAACUACUACUAACAAUGUUGGACUUGAGUGCAGGAGGGGCAACCGGAAUGCCUAGUGUAGCGGUGGAAUGCGUAGAUAUUAGGAGGAACACCAGUGGCGAAGGCGGGUUGCUAGACUGUAACUGACACUGAGGCACGAAAGCGUGGGGAGCAAACAGGAUUAGAUACCCCUGUAGUC